UGGGGAAUAUUGCACAAUGGGCGCAAGCCUGAUGCAGCCAUGCCGCGUGUGUGAAGAAGGCCUUCGGGUUGUAAAGCACUUUCAGCGAGGAGGAAGGUGGUGAGCUUAAUACGCUCAUCAAUUGACGUUACUCGCAGAAGAAGCACCGGCUAACUCCGUGCCAGCAGCCGCGGUAAUACGGAGGGUGCAAGCGUUAAUCGGAAUUACUGGGCGUAAAGCGCACGCAGGCGGUUUGUUAAGUCAGAUGUGAAAUCCCCGGGCUCAACCUGGGAACUGCAUUUGAAACUGGCAAGCUAGAGUCUCGUAGAGGGGGGUAGAAUUCCAGGUGUAGCGGUGAAAUGCGUAGAGAUCUGGAGGAAUACCGGUGGCGAAGGCGGCCCCCCUGGACGAAGACUGACGCUCAGGUGCGAAAGCGUGGGGCAGCAAACAGGAUUAGAUACCCUGGUAGUCCACGCUGUAAACGAUGUUGAUUUGGAGGUUGUGCCCUUGAGGCGUGGCUUCCGGAGCUAACGCGUUAAAUCGACCGCCU
Molecule: ribosomal RNA, 529 nt
Filed under: uncultured bacterium
Lineage: Bacteria
Description: partial 16S ribosomal RNA
Rfam family: Bacterial small subunit ribosomal RNA
Source: RNAcentral